RNAcentral lists this long non-coding RNA (1133 nucleotides) under Felis catus (domestic cat). RNAcentral's name for it is "lncRNA (ENSFCAG00000050897.1)". The record is from RNAcentral. Lineage: Eukaryota; Metazoa; Chordata; Mammalia; Carnivora; Felidae.
AUUUACUCCGUUUACAAGUUUUUCUUUUACUUUUUAAAAAAAUUUUUUUUCAAUAUAUGAAAUUUAUUGUCAAAUUGGUUUCCAUACAACACCCAGUACUCAUCCCAAAAGGUGCCCUCCUCAAUACCCGUCACCCACCCUCCCCUCCCUCCCACUACAAGUUUUUCUAUCACAAACAAUAAAGGGACCAAAGCAGCAGAAGGCUGAGAAAUAAACUGCUCUCCCCCUGCUUAACCGAGGGCUCAGACCUACCCAAGUUUGUGUAGCUUAGAUGAUUUUUCACCUGUCAUGACAUUAUUCGUGAGAGAAAGAAUAAUUAACCUUUGUCAUUCUCAGUGCAGUCAUUUUAAUGAUUAUGAAGAACAAAACCAAGUCAGGAGUCUGCCUCCAGAAUUGGAAACAUCACCUCGGUCCCCAGUUCUGUUCAUCUGUGAAUACACUGUUUUCACGGAGGAAGGAUUGAAGGAAAGGAACAGACAGGGAGUGGGAAGCCCCCCCGGCCCUCCCAAGCUGAAAAGGACAAAUUUGGCAUCACGCUGGGAACCUAGGUUUGCGACACAUUUCUCUUUCUAGUAUUCUGCAGCAAGUGGAUUUAAGUCAAGCUAAUUAGAGUGGUUUUGUUUUUUUUUUACAUUGUUUUUCUCAUGCUGUUAGCAAUUCUUUACACUUGAUGGGCACUUGGUGGAGGUUUGCAGGUGAGAUUUCACUUGUUCGUUCAGUAAAUAUUUUAUUGAGCACCCUACUGUGGGUGAGCCAGGCACUGCUCCAAGAGUUGCUGAUACACCAGUCAACAAAACUGGCAAAAGUCCCUGUUCCCAGGAGCUCCCUUUAUAGUGGAGCUUACAUGUUUUAGAAUCGUUGGGUGUGGUUCCAGCUCACCGCCUUCAUAAGGGGAUGAUCCCAGGAAAGUAUUUUCUUGACUUCAGUUUUCUUAUAUCUGUCAAAGUCUGGAUUAAGGCCUUUGGAGACCACUGAUCUGACCCCAGACUCAGCCCUUAUCAGCCACUUGUCCUUGCUACUCUGUUUGUGUGUUGGUUUUCUCACCUGAAAAAUCGACAUAAAAUUACUAUGCCUCAUUAGAGGUAUUACGAGUAUUAAAUAAAUUGCAUACAUAUAGUACUGUCUGGUAUACG